GGUCUGGUGGUCUAGUGGUAUGAUUCUCGCUUAGGGCACACCCUAUGCUUAGCAUGCGAGAGGUCCCGGGUUCAAUCCCCGGCCAGACCC
Non-coding RNA from Xylaria palmicola, 90 nucleotides. The record is from the annotation of a GenBank genome assembly. Lineage: Eukaryota; Fungi; Ascomycota; Sordariomycetes; Xylariales; Xylariaceae.